UGAUGGCGUGCCUUUUGUAGAAUGAACCGGCGAGUUACGAUUUGAUGCAAGGUUAAGCAGUAAAUGUGGAGCCGUAGCGAAAGCGAGUCUGAAUAGGGCGUUUAGUAUUUGGUCGUAGACCCGAAACCAGGUGAUCUACCCUUGGUCAGGUUGAAGUUCAGGUAACACUGAAUGGAGGACCGAACCGACUUACGUUGAAAAGUGAGCGGAUGAACUGAGGGUAGCGGAGAAAUUCCAAUCGAACCUGGAGAUAGCUGGUUCUCUCCGAAAUAGCUUUAGGGCUAGCCUCAAGUGAUGAUUAUUGGAGGUAGAGCACUGUUUGGACGAGGGGCCCCUCUCGGGUUACC
RNAcentral lists this ribosomal RNA (347 nucleotides) under Staphylococcus aureus. Its description in RNAcentral is "partial 23S ribosomal RNA". It matches the Rfam family "Bacterial large subunit ribosomal RNA", at positions 594 to 940 of the family's 2925-position model. Lineage: Bacteria; Bacillati; Bacillota; Bacilli; Caryophanales; Staphylococcaceae. The record is from RNAcentral.